AUUGAACGCUGGCGGCAGGCCUAACACAUGCCAGUCGAACGGUAACAGGAAACAGCUUGCUGUUUCGCUGACGAGUGGCGGACGGGUGAGUAAUGUCUGGGAAACUGCCUGAUGGAGGGGGAUAACUACUGGAAACGGUAGCUAAUACCGCAUAACGUCGCAAGACCAAAGAGGGGGACCUUCGGGCCUCUUGCCAUCGGAUGUGCCCAGAUGGGAUUAGCUAGUAGGUGGGGUAACGGCCCACCUAGGCGACGAUCCCUAGCUGGUCUGAGAGGAUGACCAGCCACACUGGAACUGAGACACGGUCCAGACUCCUACGGGAGGCAGCAGUGGGGAAUAUUGCACAAUGGGCGCAAGCCUGAUGCAGCCAUGCCGCGUGUAUGAAGAAGGCCUUCGGGUUGUAAAGUACUUUCAGCGGGGAGGAAGGGAGUAAAGUUAAUACCUUUACUCAUUGACGUUACCCGCAGAAGAAGCACCGGCUAACUCCGUG
This 490-nucleotide ribosomal RNA is filed under the name uncultured bacterium. RNAcentral's name for it is "partial 16S ribosomal RNA". It matches the Rfam family "Bacterial small subunit ribosomal RNA", at positions 30 to 507 of the family's 1533-position model. The record is from RNAcentral.